RNAcentral lists this long non-coding RNA (222 nucleotides) under Linum usitatissimum (flax). Its description in RNAcentral is "long non-coding RNA (LUSI_LNC000263)". The record is from RNAcentral. Lineage: Eukaryota; Viridiplantae; Streptophyta; Magnoliopsida; Malpighiales; Linaceae.
UAAUUUGUAUAGUGCAACACUGUGGUCGGGACAGCUAUGCUAUCUCAAGAUGGAUCGAGGUGCAAAGGCCGGGGAUGAGGCUUGCUUUCAAAACCCUUAAUAUUUUUCAUUUGCAAGUUGCUGUAUCGUUAGGCUUUGAUGUUUGGUUUCUCCCUCUCUAUCAGGUUGAGCCUGAAAUCGACGGCAUAAGAGAAGCCUGGAUGAGCUAGCUCAGGGGAUUGC